RNAcentral lists this ribosomal RNA (397 nucleotides) under uncultured bacterium. Its description in RNAcentral is "partial 16S ribosomal RNA". It matches the Rfam family "Bacterial small subunit ribosomal RNA", at positions 523 to 918 of the family's 1533-position model. The record is from RNAcentral.
AUACGUAGGUGACAAGCGUUAUCCGGAUUUACUGGGCGUAAAGGGCGUGUAGGCGGUCUUGCAAGUCAGAAGUGAAAUUCCUGAGCUCAACUCGGGCGCUGCUUCUGAAACUGCAGGACUUGAGUGCUGGAGGGGAUAGCGGAAUUCCUAGUGGAGCGGUAAAAUGCGCAGAUAUUAGGAAGAACACCGGUGGCGAAGGCGGCAAUCUGGACAGUAACUGACGCUGAGGCGCGAAAGCGUGGGGAGCAAACAGGAUUAGAUACCCUGUUAGUCCACGCCGUAAACGAUGAAUACUAGGUGUAGGGGGUAUCGACUCCCUCUGUGCCGCAGUUAACACAAUAAGUAUUCCGCCUGGGGAGUACGGCCGCAAGGUUGAAACUCAAAUGAAUUGACGGGG